RNAcentral lists this small RNA (145 nucleotides) under Chelonoidis abingdonii (Abingdon island giant tortoise). Its description in RNAcentral is "TUC338 (ENSCABG00000013299.1)". Lineage: Eukaryota; Metazoa; Chordata; Testudines; Testudinidae. The record is from RNAcentral.
UUGACAGUGCUACACACUAAAGCCCUCUUUUUAUCCACAGACCAGGUACAACACACUUCCUCACCAAUGUGCUUCAUGCAUGUCCUUAUGGAACCUCUCUAUGGGGUUAAGUCAUUCAAUCCCUAGCCUUCCUGCUGAGAUGGCC